This 364-nucleotide long non-coding RNA is filed under the name Nicotiana benthamiana. RNAcentral describes it as "long non-coding RNA (NBEN_LNC002018)". The record is from RNAcentral. Lineage: Eukaryota; Viridiplantae; Streptophyta; Magnoliopsida; Solanales; Solanaceae.
UUUGUGGAAUAUAUGUGUACUUUGUUAAGUAUGAUGUUGAAAUAUUAGAUAGCAUGUUUAUAUAACUGUCAGUUCUUCCACGGCAACAAGAUGAAAUAUAUAAUUGUCUCAGAUAAAUAAUUUUUCCAUCACUCAUCAACAAUUUUGUUGGAAUAAAUUAUUUAUCUACAAUGACUACAACGUUAACUAUAAUUGCAUAUAACUACAAAACUGCACUACAUAUAACUACAAAUUGGAACGACAAUGCUACAAACUACUGUUGCAGUACAAUUGCGCUGUAUGAAUGUUUCGACCAUUCGGAAGCUGUUGUGUUUUCGGCUAAAACUUCUUAUCUUGAACAAUGAAGAUUCAUGAAUUUACGUUG